CCAGCGGAGGAACAGCUGGAUGGCGCGAGGCUUCCCGGGGAUGCAAAAACAAAGGCGAGGCGAUCAGAGGCACUUCUGGGUCAGAACCAGCACCUGGGAAAUGGGUGGGGAUCGCACAUGAAGAGAAGCUUGAGUUCUGGAAGCCCCUGGUCGUGAUCCUGCGGUGGGGACAGCAUCCGUGCCCCUUUCCACACGGUCUGCUCUUUGGGGCAGGAUGGAAACAGCAGCCCUGCAGCUGGGCCAGAGAUUAUUUGGGCGCCCGGUCUCCUUUGAGGAAGUGGCUCUGUAUUUCACGCGGGGGGAGUGGGCGCUCCUGGAUCCGGGCCAGAGAGCUCUCUACAAGGAGGUCAUGAUGGAGAAUUUCCAGAACGUGGCUGC
Non-coding RNA from Pogona vitticeps (central bearded dragon), 378 nucleotides. NCBI's taxonomy places the organism in Eukaryota, Metazoa, Chordata, Lepidosauria, Squamata, Agamidae. The record is from RefSeq and is a predicted model, not a curated record.